AUCAAAGAGUGAUUGGGAAAAAUCAAGAAUGCGUUCAACAGAGAAAUAUGAAACAUACCUUCCAAGAAACCAGAGGCAACAACGCAAUAUACUUUUUAAAAAUAAAGAAACAGCUUUUACUGGCGAAAUUGAAUGUAGCAAUGUUGAACCUUUUGAAAUCAAGAAAGAAUUUAUCGAAGAUCAAGACACUACUUGUCAAAAUCCUAAUCAGAAAUAUAAGUCAAAAUGGUGUUCCGUGUAUAUAAAAGAUACGGGUAAUUUGACUGUUAAGAACAAACUGUCGAUAUACAAGGAGCAAACAUUUCAAGAAUUAGAACAGAUACCGGAAAAGAAGUUCAAAUGUGAAAAAUGUGCCCGUAGCUACAAAUGGAAAAGUCAUUUGAAUCGCCAUCUAAGAUAUGAAUGCGACGUGAAUCCACAGUUCAUAUGUAAAUUCUGCGGCAAACAAUUUAGACGCAAAAGUCAUAUGAGUGAACAUAUAGUUCAGGUUCAUCAGAAAAUAAACUCCAAGAAAAAAAACAGCGAGUGAUUGUGAAAAACAGCAUAUAACAUCAGGGCAGCGUUUGAAACGUCGGAGGCAUCAUCAAAAUCUACUGUCUGAAAAUAAUGAAAAGAACUUUACUUGCAAAGUUGAAUAUAGCAGUGACGAAACAAUGGAAAUUAAGGAAGAAUUCACCGAAAUUGAAUACAUUGACAAUGAAGCUUUUAAAGUCAAGGAAGAAAUUAGCAAUGACGAAGAGACUACAAGUCAAAAAAUAAUUAAAAAAUAUGACUCGAAUUACUGUGCCGUAGAUAUAAAAGAAAGUGAUCAUUUUUCCGUUGACAAUAAAUCUCCGACCCAUAUGAAGGAGAAAAUUUAUAUAUCAAAGCAGGACCCGAAAAAAAAAUACACAUGCGAAAAUUGUGCUAAAGGCUAUAGCCAUAAAAGAAACUUGUAUCGUCAUCAAAAACUUCAAUGCGAUGUCAUUCGACAGUUUCGCUGCAACUUCUUUGACAAACGAUUUAAAUGCAACAAAUGUACUCGAAGUUACACUCGGUUAGAUUCUUUGUAUCGUCAUAUACGUGUGAAUCACGCAGAAGUCAAGCGACAAUUUAUUUGCAAUUUCUGCGGAUAUAAAACGAACGUGAAAAAUAAUUUGUAUAUACACAUUACUUCGCUCCAUAUGAAAGAAUAAUAAAGUUCACGAAACAUUAAACUUAGGGAAAUUUAUAUUAUUGAACGAAAAAACUAUUCUUUUUAUAAUACUCAAUUUUAUCUUUUAAGGUUCCGAAAAAUUAAAUGUACUCUCUCGAUGUUGACUUAAAUUGCUUUUUAUUAUAGAGCCAAUGUAU
This is an RNA transcript of Belonocnema kinseyi, 1332 nucleotides long. It is a transcript of the gene named zinc finger protein 90-like, with no coding region annotated. The transcript has 4 exons. The record is from RefSeq and is a predicted model, not a curated record. Lineage: Eukaryota; Metazoa; Arthropoda; Insecta; Hymenoptera; Cynipidae.